AGCUUGCUGCUUCGCUGACGAGUGGCGGACGGGUGAGUAAUGUCUGGGAAACUGCCUGAUGGAGGGGGAUAACUACUGGAAACGGUAGCUAAUACCGCAUAACGUCGCAAGACCAAAGAGGGGGACCUUCGGGCCUCUCGCCAUCGGAUGUGCCCAGAUGGGAUUAGCUAGUAGGUGGGGUAACGGCUCACCUAGGCGACGAUCCCUAGCUGGUCUGAGAGGAUGACCAGCCACACUGGAACUGAGACACGGUCCAGACUCCUACGGGAGGCAGCAGUGGGGAAUAUUGCACAAUGGGCGCAAGCCUGAUGCAGCCAUGCCGCGUGUAUGAAGAAGGCCUUCGGGUUGUAAAGUACUUUCAGCGGGGAGGAAGGUGCUGAGGUUAAUAACCUCAGCAAUUGACGUUACCCGCAGAAGAAGCACCGGCUAACUCCGUGCCAGCAGCCGCGGUAAUACGGAGGGUGCAAGCGUUAAUCGGAAUUACUGGGCGUAAAGCGCACGCAGGCGGUCUGUCAAGUCGGAUGUGAAUCCCCGGGCUCAACCUGGGAACUGCAUUCGAAACUGGCAGGCUAGAGUCUUGUAGAGGGGGGUAGAAUUCCAGGUGUAGCGGUGAAAUGCGUAGAGAUCUGGAGGAAU
RNAcentral lists this ribosomal RNA (636 nucleotides) under uncultured Pseudomonadota bacterium. RNAcentral describes it as "bacterial SSU rRNA". It matches the Rfam family "Bacterial small subunit ribosomal RNA", at positions 77 to 707 of the family's 1533-position model. The record is from RNAcentral. Lineage: Bacteria; Pseudomonadati; Pseudomonadota.